This is a non-coding RNA of Ictidomys tridecemlineatus (thirteen-lined ground squirrel), 2088 nucleotides long. The record is from RefSeq and is a predicted model, not a curated record. Lineage: Eukaryota; Metazoa; Chordata; Mammalia; Rodentia; Sciuridae.
GAGGCGCGGGUUUUAGCCAAUAGGACUUGAAAAGAGCGGUACUGACGCACCGGUGGCGGACCUAGAAAGCGGGACGCUUGAACUUUAUUCUGACACUGGGCGCCGAGUUUGACUGCUGCGUAGACUUUCUGUCCUCAGGGAAGCUUGACGUCCGAAAUGAGAGGAAAGAGAUGACAACGAAGGACUUCAGUAGGGCGCUGAAGGGAGACCAUUAGCUGUGGUUUGAGAAACGGAGUCGUUCUUUUCAUUUGUAACCACUCAGAAAGUAAAAACUCGGGGAGAAAGUGGACCUUAAAGCCAGUUAUGACAUUAACAGGAAAUACUGUUUGUUUUUAGGACAGCCGAACUGAGAAGUGUCAUAAUGUUCUUUGAGUGGGUGCUGCCUUUCCACACACUGAGAAAUCUUGCCCGUUAAAAUCCAGAUACUAUUUGAAAUUCUAUCAGUAAUAAUGAAAGAAACAUCCCAUUUUUUUUUUUUUUUUUUGCCUUCAGGACUAAAUUGCUUUGACACAGAAGCAGCCUCACAGGAUCAUCACAAAAGUGACACUGUUGGAGCUGGGAGCUAUGACACACACCUGUAAUCCCAGAGACUGGGGAGGCUGAGGCAGAAGGAUCACAAGUUCAAGGUUAUCCUCUGAAUCUUGCCACUGACUUUUCAUCCCUGAAAAUGCCAGCAUAUGUAAGGACUUUGCUGGGAUUGAAGACCUCAAAUAAUACCAAUUGUGGAUAAAGCUAAAACAAAGGUGAGCACAAUGGCUUUUUGAAAGUGGAGAGGUGGACAAAGCCAAAAUUAAGAUAGUCUUAAGUGGAGUGUUGUGUGGGACGAUGAGAGCCUAAGGCUGAGGCUUGCAGAACUUGGUAAUCAGUUUGAUGAGGGGUAUUGUUGGCAUUCAGGAGAUUAGUGUUAUAGGAAGGAAAAUUUUAGUUUCAAGAUGGCAGAGUAAAAAUACUUCUUUCCUAUACUCCUGAAAAUCAUCGAAAGAAAACAAUUCAAAACAUCAUCUUUGAUUAUAGUAGGAGAUAACCAUAAUCUCAAACCACAAUGUAUGAAGACUGAAUGUACAUGGAAGAAGAGUGGAUAGUAGAUUACUUAGAAGUGAGGAAAAAGGUCAAAUUAAAAUUCUGCAAGGUGGACACUGAAGUCCCCAGAGAAGACUGAAAAGCCUCAGGAAUUAAGAGCCACUGUGGAUGCCAGAGAAGGAUGGAUUUUUUGAAAAUCUAUAUAUGGUGUGGUUAGAAUUUGGUUACAAAACUCAUCUUGUAAGGCAAUUGUCUCUGACAGAAGAUAAAUUUUAUUAAUAAAUAAAUAAAAGGUACAAGAGAGGUUUCAGAUUUCAGGAUAUCAAGUAGAAAGGGUUUAGGGCUUAUUGAAUGUGAGUUGGAAUUCCUUUUGUCUGAGCUCCACAAAUUCUAGGCUUAAAUCUUCCAGAUUUGUACCCCACCAACCAAGGGGAAGGAGAUUAUUUUAUGGAGUAUUUAACACCUCCCCCCCCAAAAUCCUAUGGGUUUGUUAUGGAUUCCCAACAAAAAUAGUUGGUCAUUUCCUCAUCAUAUAUGUUUAUUUUUCUUUUUUAGGUACUGGGAAUUGAACCCAGGCUUGCUAACUAAGCACAUGAUCUACCACAGAGCUACACGCCCAGGCCAAGAUAGUCACAGAUUUUUUUCCCCCAGUGCUUGGAAUCAAAUCCAGGGCCCUGUGCAUAUUAGGCAAGUGCUCUACCACUGAGCCACACCCCAGCCCUUCACUGAUUAUCGUACUCACCCUUGUACACAAAAAUUACCAUCAAUUUUAAAUGUCUGUUUUAAAUAUAAAUGCAGUCAGAGAACACAUAUUUGCAAAUAUGCAGAAAACAAAUCAGAGGAAAUAAACACUCCAAGAACAUAAAAAAAACUAAAGUAUCCUCAAAGUACAACAUGAAACAAGAACAACAUGCUCUAUACAGGAGCAAUACAAAAGAAAGUGCUCUUGGGAUACACAAUAGAAUAUUAUUCAGCCUUAAAGAAUAAUGAAAUCAUGGCAUUUGCAGGUAAAUGGAUGGAGCUGGAGAAUAUUAUGCUAAGCAAAAUAAGAAAAUCCCACAGAACCAA